CGGGAUACCCGAGGGAAACUUCGGUUAAUACGGUAUAAGACCACACUACCGCAUGGUAGAGGGGUAAAAGGGGCAACCUGGUAUGAGAUGGACUCGCGUCGCAUUAGCUAGUUGGUGAGGUAACGGCCCACCAAGGCGACGAUGCGUAGCCGACCUGAGAGGGUGAUCGGCCACAUUGGGACUGAGAUACGGCCCAGACUCCUACGGGAGGCAGCAGUGGGGAAUAUUGGGCAAUGGAGGAAACUCUGACCCAGCAAUGCCGCGUGAAUGAAGAAGGUCUUCGGAUUGUAAAGUUCUUUAGUCAGGGAAGAAGUCAAUGACGGUACCUGAAGAAUAAGCUCCGGCUAACUACGUGCCAGCAGCCGCGGUAAUACGUAGGGAGCAAGCGUUGUUCGGAAUGACUGGGCGUAAAGGGUGCGUAGGCGGUUGUACAAGUUAGAAGUGAAAUACCCAGGGCUUAACUCGGGUGCUGCUUCUAAAACUGUAUGACUUGAGUGCAGUAGAGGUUAGUGGAAUUCCUAGUGUAGCGGUGGAAUGCGUAGAUAUUAGGAGGAACACCAGAGGCGAAGGCGGCUAACUGGACUGCAACUGACGCUGAGGCACGAAAGUGUGGGGAGCAAACAGGAUUAGAUACCCUGGUAGUCCACACUGUAAACGAUGGAUACUAGAUGUAGGAGGUAUCGACUCCUUCUGCGUCG
Molecule: ribosomal RNA, 698 nt
Filed under: uncultured bacterium
Lineage: Bacteria
Description: bacterial SSU rRNA
Rfam family: Bacterial small subunit ribosomal RNA
Source: RNAcentral